UUUAGUCGUUAUGGACUGUGAAAAUUUUGGUCCGAAUCGCUUUCACUAUCCUUUCGCCACCGACUCAUCUAACGACGAAGACGACGACAACGUUUGUCUGACUCCGCGAGUGAAACAUUACGUGGAGGAGGUAAGAUUCGGUGAAACCAAACCCUCCUCUUCCUCCUUCAAGGCGGCGAGGAAAGCUAGAUGUAAGGCAGAAAAAGGUUGACGUGUCGGUGUCAGUGAAUCCCAAAAAGUACAGAGGCGUGAGGCAGAGAUGGUGGGGGUGCGAAGCUGCCGUUGCUUAGGAUCGAGCCGCGAUUCGUCAUAAGGGUCACAACACGCAAACGAAUUUCUGACUCCUCCUCCUCCUCCUUCGCCAGGGGAAACACCCGUUAUCGAUCUAUAAACGGUUUCCAGCUGCGAUUCGGGGAACCAGAGCCUCUGUUCUCCGACGUCGGAAACAGAGUAUUGGACAGACCUGGAGAGGGAACCAAUCGAUAUGGCGGUGGAGGUAAAGCCCACCGUAGGAGCUCAUGUGGGUGGAUAUGCUCAUGUUGACGUGAAUGUAGGUACAAAGCAUGGGGCUCACUCCUGGGAAUGCAGCUAGCAGAAAGGGAUAUCACUGUAGCAUGUGUUGACUACAGGCUACGGAAUGUAAGACCGGCAAUCCAGAAAAUUCUCACAGAUUCUGCAAUGAGACAUGUUUUGUCUGAUCUGUGACUGAGACUUACCAGAAAGCUCUCACGGAGCAAUGUAACCUUAACAUGUUGAAGAUGUUGAAUGAGGCUGAGAGAUUGGUGGUUCUGGUGUUUACUUCUCAGAUUGUUUUAAAAGAUGCGCUUGGAUCACACCCAAGUCUGGUAAAAAAAAUUGAGUUUGGAAUUUAGGUGGUAACUGAUGACCAUUAAAAUAGGAAUAUGAAUGAGUAGAAAAAGAAUGAAU
Brassica oleracea var. oleracea is the source of this 927-nucleotide long non-coding RNA. RefSeq lists it as uncharacterized. The transcript is spliced from 4 exons. The record is from RefSeq and is a predicted model, not a curated record. NCBI's taxonomy places the organism in Eukaryota, Viridiplantae, Streptophyta, Magnoliopsida, Brassicales, Brassicaceae.